Molecule: non-coding RNA, 46 nt
Filed under: Echinostoma caproni
Lineage: Eukaryota; Metazoa; Platyhelminthes; Trematoda; Plagiorchiida; Echinostomatidae
Source: RNAcentral
GCACUGCUGACGAAUCCCAAAACAGGACAAAACAGCUGUCCAGUGU